Molecule: non-coding RNA, 228 nt
Organism: Vicia faba (fava bean)
Lineage: Eukaryota; Viridiplantae; Streptophyta; Magnoliopsida; Fabales; Fabaceae
Source: the annotation of a GenBank genome assembly
AUGGCAUCCCUACAAACGCUUUGUAAUGUUGAUUUAGAUAUGGAUGAAGCUGCAGAGGUAAUUAAAGAGUUCGGAAAGCUGAAACAGAUGAGGGAUUUGUGGUUGAUUAAUGUUCGCCCAGAAGACGGAAACAUUCUAUCUUCUUUGAUUGAUAAGAUGCAACACUCGGAGAAACUAUCUGUUCAAUUGUAUAAGAAUACUGAUGAACUCAAUGAUUUUGGAUACUAG